Non-coding RNA from Caenorhabditis elegans, 126 nucleotides. The record is from Ensembl. Lineage: Eukaryota; Metazoa; Nematoda; Chromadorea; Rhabditida; Rhabditidae.
GGGAACAUCUAAGCUGUAGGCGGGUGCUAAGAACAAGUGUGUUGACCUGUGUCCGCAAGUGUGUUCAAAAUACUGGUUCUAGCAAAUGUGUAAUGACAUGAUACUUACUGAUUUUGUACUUGUUUU